CCUACGGGUGGCAGCAGUGGGGAAUAUUGGGCAAUGGAGGCAACUCUGACCCAGCAAUGCCGCGUGAGUGACGAAGGUAAUUUUAUUGUAAAGCUCUUUUCUUUGGGACGAAUAAAUGACGGUACCAAAGGAAUAAGCCCCGGCUAACUACGUGCCAGCAGCCGCGGUGAUACGUAGGGGGCAAGGGUUCUUCGGAAGGACUGGGUGUAAAGGGUGUGUAGGUGGUUUGAUAAGUUAGAUGUGUAAUACCCAGGGCUUAACGCGGGUGCUGCAUCUAAUACUGUUAGGCUUGAGUACUGGAGAGGAUAGUGGAAUGCGUAGUGUAGCGGUGGAAUGCGUAGAUAUUAGGAGGAACACCAGUGGCGAAGGCGACUAUCUGGACAGCAACUGACACUGAGGCACGAAAGCGUGGGGAGCAAACAGGAUUAGAUACCCGUGUAGUC
This 443-nucleotide ribosomal RNA is filed under the name uncultured bacterium. RNAcentral describes it as "partial 16S ribosomal RNA". It matches the Rfam family "Bacterial small subunit ribosomal RNA", at positions 338 to 795 of the family's 1533-position model. The record is from RNAcentral.